Non-coding RNA from Sander lucioperca (pikeperch), 463 nucleotides. The record is from the annotation of a RefSeq genome assembly. NCBI's taxonomy places the organism in Eukaryota, Metazoa, Chordata, Actinopteri, Perciformes, Percidae.
UUAGUUCAGUCUGACAAAGUCAGAGAGCCGUGUCUCUCUACAGUGAGAGGUUUUUGUACGGCGGCUCAAUGACUUUGUAUCACUGUGGUGGACUUUUGGUGGAGGAACCAGACUGAAUGUUGGAAGUGAUGUCCGUCCCACCCUGACGGUGCUGCCCCCCUCCAGUGAGGAGCUGCUGAAGGGGAAGGCCACGCUCAUGUGCCUUGCCAACAAGGGCUUCCCCUCAGACUGGAGUCUGGCCUGGAAGGUGGACGGCAGCAGCAGCAGCAGCAGCAGCAGCUGGGAGGAGAGCAGGAGCCCCGGGGUGCUGGGGAAGGACGGCAAAUACAGCUGGAGCAGCACCCUGAGGCUCCCUGCAGACCAGUGGGAGAAGGUGGGCUCUGUGACCUGUGAGGCCACCCAGGGCUCCCAGACUCCACUCUCAGAGACACUGAGGAGAGACCAGUGUUCCCAGUCCUGACCU